This is an RNA transcript of Carcharodon carcharias (great white shark), 2420 nucleotides long. It is a transcript of the gene named protein O-glucosyltransferase 3, with no coding region annotated. The record is from RefSeq and is a predicted model, not a curated record. The transcript has 9 exons. Lineage: Eukaryota; Metazoa; Chordata; Chondrichthyes; Lamniformes; Lamnidae.
AAGCAGCCAUUGGGGUUUCCGCGCUCCACUCAAAGGCGGCCAACGAUGUUGAGCAGUCCCGGGUGGCAUUGAAGUUUUUGGGUGGUGUGGCUUGCAAAUGCAUUCGGGGUGAAUUGGAGGCAAAUCAAAAAAUGCGGCGGCAGCGUUUAUUAUGGGUGUUUUCGGUGGGGUUGUUUUUGAUGGUUUCUGUUGGCAAAUGUGAAACAGGGAAAGAGGAAGUGAGUGCUGCAAAAAGUUUAGUCUGGGGGCCGGGUCUGAGGGCUGAUGUUGUGCUGCCGGUUCGAUAUUUCUAUAUCCAGGCAGUUACCUACACAGGAGAAAAUGUCACCUAUUCUCCCGGAAGUAAUACAUUCAAUGUGGUGAUCAAAGUGCUGUCCUCCAGAGAACAUGUUCGGCGUUACGUACCAGCACCCUUGGAUCGAAAUGAUGGAACUUUUCUUAUGAGGUAUCGAAUGUAUGGAACUGCCAGUGAGGGGCUAAAGAUUGAAGUAUUUCUUCAAGGUCAACAUGUAGGCCAGUCUCCAUAUAUUUUAAAAGGACCAGUCUAUCAUGAAUACUGUUACUGUCCAGAAGAAGAGCCCCAGAAAUGGAAAGAUACUGUAUCUUGUCCUGCAGAAGAGGAACAGAUUUCUAGCGACUUCAUUAAUUUUCCCAGUAUAGAUCUCACACUCCUUCUAGAAGAAGUACCAAACAGAUUUGGUGAUCGAGGAAUUGUUCACUACACCAUAUUGGAUAACCAGAUUUAUCGACGAACCAUGGGACGAUACACUGACUUCAAAAUGUUUUCAGAUGAAAUGCUGCUUUCUUUAACAAGGAAAGUUCGCUUGCCCAAUGUUGAAUUUUAUGUAAAUGUUGGAGAUUGGCCACUAGAAACCCGUCAGAUGAAGGAUAAUCCCUUGCCCAUCAUUUCUUGGUGUGGCUCUGAGGAUACUGCAGAUAUUGUCCUUCCAACAUAUGACAUCACACGCUCUACAUUAGAAACACUGCGUGGUGUAACAAAUGAUCUUCUCUCCAUUCAAGGACAGACUGGUCCUGCCUGGUGUAAUAAAACAGAGCAAGCUUUUUGGCGAGGCAGGGACAGUCGCGAAGAGAGGCUGAAACUAGUCAGGAUCUCCAGAAACAAUCCUGAGCUGUUGGAUGCUGGAAUAACUGCCUAUUUCUUCUUUCGUGAAGAAGAGAAAGAACUUGGAAAAGCGCAAUUGAUCAGUUUCUUUGACUUCUUUAAGUAUAAAUACCAAGUGAAUGUGGAUGGUACUGUGGCAGCUUACAGGUUCCCAUACCUUAUGUUGGGUGACAGCCUUGUAUUGAAGCAGGAUUCUAAAUAUUAUGAGCACUUCUACAGAUCUCUGAAGCCAUGGAAACAUUAUGUUCCACUGAAGAGAGAUAUGAGUGAUGUUAUUGAGAGGAUUAAAUGGGUGAAGGAUAAUGAUGCUGAAGCUCAGAAAAUUGCCAGAUCAGGACAAGCUCUAGCUAGAGAGCUCCUGCAGCCUUCAAGUCUUUACUGUUACUAUUACAUAGUCUUACAGUGGUGAGGGGAGGAGAUAAUCUUUGGAAUUUGUGUGAAAUUGCACCAUUGUGGCGUGACUUGAUGUUGGAUUGGCCUGGAAGCCAAGAGACAUCACUCUCUGCAGAGAAAGAGAUGAAGAUGUACUAAUAUGAUCCACACUUGGUACAUUUAUACCCCGAGUGUCAAGGAGUAUGCCAAAAGGCAGGCUACUAAGCCUGAAAUUCGAGAAGGAAUGGAGUAUGUUCUUCAGCCAACUGAUAAUGAAUCUUUCUGUAAUUGCAAGAGAACAGCCAAUAUAAAGGAAGAACUUUAAUUGUAAUCAAUACCAUUGCCUCUGUUAAUUUUGUAUGCAAAAAUCUCUCUUUCUUUCUUAGACUGUUUCCAGAAAGGGCCUGAAGUAAUGUACAUUUAGACGUGAAUGUCAUUUUCAGUAGCUAUUAUUCACCACAAUUUUUUUCCCUCUCUAAGCCUAUUGCUGCUUUUGUGUAAAAUGUUAAUUCUACCUUCGUGGUGUCAAAUUGACUAUAUGAAAUGUGAAAUUAGAAGCUGAACUUAUAGCAGGAGUGAUAUGCUGAACUUUGUAACUUGGGAUUAGUUUGUAGUAGUUACUUGAAAGUAGUUCAAGCUAUCAUUUGUAAUUCAAAACACACCAAAUUGUAUUUAAUCUGGUUUUAUUUGUCAGUAAGCAUGAUGCAAAGUGUUGCAUCUAGUCUAUCAGGGCUCAUCUGACUUGAUCCUAGAAUCAGAUUUGUAUUUAUUACGGGACAGUUUUCAAAACAAAUUUACUUCAAAGUAGGCUCGCUGCAUAUAUAGAUAUAGUGGAUUUUUUAAGACUUGUUUUGUAAAAUACAAUUCUAAUAUACUUUCACCAGAUAUGUUAUAUAUUAAAUUGUCAUACUAGUUGUGCUGAAAA